Molecule: non-coding RNA, 1591 nt
Organism: Oryctolagus cuniculus (rabbit)
Lineage: Eukaryota; Metazoa; Chordata; Mammalia; Lagomorpha; Leporidae
Source: RefSeq, a predicted model, not a curated record
AGAAUCAGGCAUAGGUUGUGAGUGAAAUCAGAACUAAAGAACCAACAUUUACUGAGCCCUUAAUAGGUGCCAAGCAUUAUUCUAAACUUCUUAUAGAGAUGAUCACAAACAGAAAAUGAAGCUCAUAGAUCAUGCAUGGAUGAGAAAGUGAACUCAAUUCAUUAGCAUCAGUCUCUAUAAUAUAAAUCAUUUCAGACAGUCAAAUACUUUCAGGUCCAUUCAAAUCAAUUUCCCUCUACAUAUCAAUAAACAUUCUUUCUGUUGGCUUCUGGAUUGGCCUGAAGUGUUCCAGAUCCCAGCAGAAGCAGCCUGGAUUCUCAGAGAUCUUCCUUCCCCAAGUGGGCUUGUGAUGCCCUCGUGCCUUCUCCUCCCCAAAGCUGCCAACCCUCUCUCUUCUUUCACUUGCACCAUGCCCUCCCCACCCCAUGCCUGACUAUGAAAUGGAAAACAGCCCCUGUGCUCUCUCCCCUUCCAGCACAGACAUCCACUUCCUCCAAACUGUGACUGACAACCACUUUUGAAACAGGGAUCAUUAAAAUUCUAAACACGAAGUGUUUAAAAACUCAGAAUAUGCUGGGAACCAUGCUUCCUGGAGCACUCUUCAUUCUGCAUCUGAAAUCAUAAGCACAGUUGGGUUCUGACCCUCCCUCCAACUGUCAGUCAAUUCCUUUUUGGGCCCUAUGUGUUGAUUAAAUUAAAUGCUGCUGAUGUCAUAGAGACAUCUGGUGUCUCCAAGUUCCAAGUGCUCAUUUUCUAACUCAGAGGCAACCCAGAGGAGAUCUCUUCUGACUCUGUGAGAAAUUUCCUCCAUAGCAUGGGAAACUUCAGGGUAAAUGAUCCAUCAGCACCAGUGCCUUAAUAUAGGUCAACCUGUGGAGAGUCACUCUCAAGACUCAGGUGUCCAAGAACAGUUCAUCCAAGACCUCAUCUCCCCAUUGGCCACCUUCUGUUUUGCCCUUUGCUCUCUACAAAUUUAAGACCCAGAAACACAAGAAGAGCCUUUGCAAGAGCCAUUGGAAACCAGUAUCCCCACAGCAGGAUGGAUGAUGCAGCAUCAUGAAUGCUGAUGUAACUGUGUGAAACACAUGGCUUCAGCAAUUUAACAACAAGAAGAGCUACACUGUUGCAACAGACAGGUUCUGACAAGCUACAGGUCUUUAAUAAUAACAACACAGUUGUCUUUUUCUCACAGUGGGAGUCAUAAAACCACCCAGAGACAGGAUAUUUGAUGAUAAAGAAUAUGAAGAUGAUUCCUGGAUAUGAAACAAGGAGACAGUUAUAAGAGACUGAAGAAUCAUCAGGUGCUCUGAUUGGACAUUAACCAAAUACAUUACUACCUCCUGCCUAUCCAUCAUUCUAAAUCUUUAGGCUAACUCCCCAAGCCUUUUAUGUGUUUAUGAACUUUGUAAAGAAAUUUUAGAUAGAUUGCUUUUAUGAACAGAAGAUUCACCAAAAGAGUAUUUCCUAAGGUCUCACACACCUUAGUGGUGACUCUAAAUAAAGUGGAGGGGAGACAUUUGCCAUGUCCCAGUUCUCAUAAAUGUAUCUCAGAGGACAAAAGUAUCAUAAAGAUGACUCCAGCUUUUUCUGA